This 253-nucleotide ribosomal RNA is filed under the name uncultured bacterium. RNAcentral's name for it is "partial 16S ribosomal RNA". It matches the Rfam family "Bacterial small subunit ribosomal RNA", at positions 524 to 776 of the family's 1533-position model. The record is from RNAcentral.
UACAGAGGUCUCAAGCGUUGUUCGGAUUCAUUGGGCGUAAAGGGUGCGUAGGUGGCGCGCUAAGUCAGGUGUGAAAUUUCGGGGCUUAACUCCGAAACUGCAUUUGAUACUGGCGUGCUUGAGGACUGGAGAGGAGACUGGAAUUCACGGUGUAGCAGUGAAAUGCGUAGAUAUCGUGAGGAAGACCAGUGGCGAAGGCGGGUCUCUGGACAGUUCCUGACGCUGAGGCACGAAGGCCAGGGGAGCAAACGGG